This 3459-nucleotide long non-coding RNA is filed under the name Homo sapiens (human). RNAcentral describes it as "uncharacterized LOC105377253, transcript variant 1 (LOC105377253)". The record is from RNAcentral. Lineage: Eukaryota; Metazoa; Chordata; Mammalia; Primates; Hominidae.
CUCCAUAGUGAGUGUGUUCUCAUGAGAUAUGACAGUUUAAAAGUGUGUGGCAGUUCCCCCAUCUUGCUCUCUCUCCCGUCACCAGUUAUACACAAGAUGAAUGGAUUAACCACUGGAAGACCUGCACUACUACAAAUGUUAAAGAAAGUCCUUCCAAGAAAGAAAAAAGGCAACUUAAUGGAAACUUGUGUCUACCAAAUGGAAAGAAGAGCAAUGGGAAUCCUAACUACGGUACACUGAAGAACACUUUUGCAGCUGACUAACAACUCUUGAUAUUGAGAAAGUUAUCAGAAUUAUUUGCAAAUCUCCUCUCAGAUUUGCAAAGGAUGCUGGCAUUUCUCCAUGAGGCAGGAGUGUGAGAAAAAAAGUUGAAUGUGGUGAUGGGGAAAACACUGAAGUUCAAAAGAAGCGAAGACAAGAAGCUACUCAUGGCAGCAGCUUUUCCCAUAAAUCAAGAAAUGCUACAGAUUAUAAAUGAGAUGAGACUAUCAAGAAGAGACCUAAUAGGAGUGUGAAGACCAAAAAUUUAAAAGACGUGGUUAUAUACUUUGAGUAAACUCUAUAUAUAGGACAAUGUUAUUGUUUGGUUCUGUGUUCCUCACUCAAAUCUCACCUCAAAUUAUAAUCCCCAUGUGUCAAGGGCAGGACCAGGUGGAAGUAACUGGAUCAUGGGGGAAGUUUUCCUCAUGCUUUUCUCAUAGUAAGUGAGUUCUCAUAAGAUCUGAUUUUUUUAUAAGCAUAUGGCAUUUCCCCUCCUAGCAUUUUGCCUCCUGCUGCCUUGCAAAGACGGCAGUUGCUUCCCCUUUGCCUUCCGCCAUGACUGUAAGUUCCCUGAGUCCUCUCCAGCCAUGUGGAACUGUGGGUUAAUUAAAUCUCUUUCCUUAUAAAUUACCCAGUCUUGGGCAGUUCUUUAUAGCAGUGUGAAACUGGACUAAAAUAGAAAAUUGGUACCAGGAGAGUGAGGCACUGCUGUAAAGACAUCACUAUAAAGGCACCUGAAAAUGGAAGCAACUUUGGAACUAGCUAAUGGGCAGAGGUUGGAACCAUUUGCAGGGUUCAGAAGAAGACAUGAAGAUGUGGGAAAGUUUGGAAAUUCCUGGAGACUUGUUGAAUGCUUUGACGAAAAUGCUGAUACUGAUAUGGACAAUAAAUUUCAGGCUGAGAUGCUCUCAGAUACAAAUAAAGAACUUGUUGGGAACUGGAAUAAAGGUGACUAUUUGCUAUAUAUGCUUUAGCAAAGAGACUGGUGGCAUUUUGCCUCUGUCCUAGAGAUCUGUGGAGCUUUGAACAUGAGAAAGAUGAUUUAGAAUAUCUGGUGGAAGAAAUUUAUAUGCAGCAAAGUGUUCAAGAAGUGACUCGGGUGCUCUUAAAACCAUUCAGUUGUAUGCAUUCACAAAGAUAUGGUUUGGAAUUGGAACUUAUGUUUAAAAGGGAAGCAGAGAAUAAGAGUUCAGAAAAUUUGCAGCCUGAUGAUGCAAUAGAAAAGAAAAAUCUCAUUUUCUGGGGAGAAAUUCAAGCCUGCUGCAGAAAUUUGCGUAAGUAACAAGGAGACAAAUGUUAGUCACCAAGACAAUGGAGAAUAUGGCCUCAGUCAAUGUCGGAUGUCUUCACUGCAAGCCCUCCAAUCACAGGCCUGAAGGAUUGGAGAGAAAAAAUAAUUUUGUGGGCAAGGCCCAGGGACUUGCUGCUUUGUGCAGUCUCUGAACUUGGUGCCCUGCAUCCCAGCUGUGUCUAAUAGUGGCCAACAUACAGCUCAGGCCAUUGCUUUAGAGGGUGAAAGCCCCAAGCCAUGGUGUCUUACAUGUGGUUUUGGGCCUGCAGAUGCACAGAUGUCAAGAAUUGAGGUUUGAGAACCUCCACCUAGAUUUCAGAGGAUGUAUGGAAACUCUUGGAUGUCCAGGCAGAAGAGUACUACAGGGGCAGAGCUCUCCAUGGAGAACAUCUGCUAGGGCAGUGCAGAGUCCCCACUGGGGCGCUGACUAGUGGAGCUGUGAGAAGAAGGCCACCAACCUCCAGACCCCAGAAUGGUAGAUCCACCAACAUCUUGCAUCGUACACCUAGAAAAGUCACAGACGCUCAACAACACCUCAUGAAAGUAGCCAGGAGAGGCGCUGUAUCCUGCAAAGCCACAGAGGCAGAGCUGCCCAAGGCUGUGGUAUCCCACCUCCUACAUCAGUGUGAUUGGAUGUGAGACAUGUAGUCAAAUGAGGUCAUUUUGGAACUUUUAAGACUUAAUGACUGCUUUAUUGUAUUUUGGACUUGCAUGAGGCUUGUAGCCCCUUUGUUUUAGCCAGUUUAUCUCAUUUGGAAUGGGACUAUUUAUCCAAAGCCUGUACCCCAUUGUAUCUAGGAAGUAACUGACUUGCUUUGGAUUUUACAAGCUCAUAGGCAGAAGGGACUUCCCUUGUCUCAGAUGAGACUUUGGACUGUGGCCUUUUGAGUUAAUGUUAAAAUGAGUUAAGACUUUGAGGAACUGUUGGGGAGGCAUGAUUAGUUUUGAAAUGUAAAAAGACAUGAGAUUUGGGAGGGGCCAAGGACAGAAUAAUACGGUUUGGCUCUGUGUCCCCUUCCAAAUUUCACCUUUAAUUGUAAUCGCCAUAACCCCCACAUGUCAAUGGUGGAAACAGGUAGAGGUAAUUGGAUCGUGGAGGCAGUUUCUUCUAUGCUGUUAUUCAUGAUAGCGAAUGAGUUUUCAUGAGAUCUGAUGGUUUUAUAAGCAUCUGGCAUUUCUUCUGCUUGCACUUCUCAUUCCUGCCACCUUGUGAAGAAGGUGCUUUUCUUCCCAUUUGCGUUCAACCAUUAUUAUAAGUUUCCAGAGGCAAACCCAGCCACACAGAAGUGUGAGUCAAUUAAACCUCUUUUUUAAUAAAUUACCACUCUCAAACAGUUCUUUAUGGCAGUAUGAAGACAGACUAACACAGAAAGAUAUAGCUGUUUUGGAAACAUCAGAAGUACAGUUGUAGCAAUAAAUAAAAUAUGAAUAGAUUAACUUUCGUACACCUAUUUGUGUUGAAAGCACCAGGAGUCAUAGCCAACAAUCACUUUAAUAUUUCUCCAGCUAAUUCUUCUGAUUUAUUUUUAUGUUUGGUUAGCCAGUGACUUCCCCACUAGCUAAAAAAUAUUUUUAAAAGUAUGUAUGUGUUAAUAUAUCUUGACUACUUUUUAAUUUUCCAAUUAAAAAAUAAAUCACACUUUAAUCUCUGUGUCUUGAUUUUUCUCAUUUAAGAAGAGCUCAUUGACUUAGGGGCUACAUACUAUAUGACAAGUUACAUAAAUCACAAUUUUCUUAAAUAUUUCCCUAUUGAUGGUUACUCAGUUUUAUUUUUUUUAUUUUUGCCAUUAGUAACAGUGAAGAAAUUAAUGAUCUUGCAUUUAAAUUUUAAGUACAGGUGAUUGGCUUCUUUUUACAACAUUAAAGAGUUGUAAUUGACAUACAAUAAACUGUAAUUAUAUAGUAGG